Molecule: long non-coding RNA, 1818 nt
Organism: Echinops telfairi (small Madagascar hedgehog)
Lineage: Eukaryota; Metazoa; Chordata; Mammalia; Afrosoricida; Tenrecidae
Exons: 4
Source: RefSeq, a predicted model, not a curated record
CAUCCUUGGAGCACCUGCUUUUCAGCGCCCGUGAUCCGAAUCGGCCGGGGCUACUUCUGUGGCCCUGGACUCACGGCCUCUGACAGUGGCAGGGAACUCUUAGUGCCCAGGGCCUCCCCAGCUGCACUGGCUCCUGAGCCUGCAAGUGUGGGAGAACUUCCGGUGCCCGCCCCUUGGGGAGAGACCCCACUUGGAAACUCUGCCAGGGUACAGGCCUCACCCCCCGGAGAGACCCAGAGGGCACAGAGUUUGAAGAAGCCAGGAAGUGGGUGGCAGAGAAGCUGCAGUUCCAGAAAGACGUGGACGUGAACCUGUUUGAGAGCACCAUCCGCAUCCUGGGCGGCCUGCUGAGCACCUACCACCUGACGGGGGACAGCCUCUUCCUGGAGAAAGCCAAAGACUUUGGAAACCGGCUGCUGCCUGCCUUCAAGACCCCCUUCUCGGACGUGAACCUGGCCACGGGCCACGCGCACGUGCGUCGUGGGGACCCCACAGCAGCGAGUCACAGGAGUUCCGAGAGCGCACGCGCCACGGGGCUGGACCAUUCCAGGAAUGGACAGGCAACCGUGCUUGGUGCGCCUGGCUCCCUUUGUUAAACGCUGGGUGUGCGAGCGUCGGACCACGGCUGCCGGGAGGGCAGAGCCUCCCUCUCGCCGACAGUGGGAGGCUUGUCGCUGUCCUCCCCGUCCUGUGCCUGUCGGUGACCGAUGGCUUUUCCGAGGACAAAAGGAGGCAGAGCAGACCUGGAGCACGUCGCAUUGGCCGCGUUGAAGUGGCCUUUCCUGCUGAUUCACUGGGCUGCUGCGAACCUUGGCGCGUUUCUCAGAGUGCACAGGGCUGUUUGAACAGUGCCUGCCUCACCUCAGUGGGGCAGGACGGAGUGCAGACCUGGGAGAGUGGGGCACUCUGAGGGAUCCCUGCGUGGGAGGCUUGGGAGCCCCUGUCAGGUCCCAGUGGUUGUGUGACAUGCUGGCGGGGUGGGGGGGUGUCGGGAAACAGGAUCCCUCUCUCCUCCCUGGGGGAAUAAUAAGCCCUGAGUUCAGUCCACCUUUCUGAAGUUCAGCCCAGGUCCCAGCCUCCCCUACAGUCCUGGUGCCCCGUCCCUGAUCACGCUCCUUUCUCUGUCUGUCCUGAAUUGCAGGAGGCCACAGAGGCGGUGACCCGGCACGUCCCCGUGCUGUUCGGGAAGAAGGACGGUCUGGUGCCCAAGUUCAUCAGCGUUCUCAGUGGACACGCUGUGCCCUCUGAGUCCGCAUGCUGGGCGCCGGCGCUGACAGCGAUUACGACUGUCUGCUGAAGCGGUGGAUACAGGGAGGGAAGGAUGAGACAUGACGAGCCCCACUCGGGGCACUGGGCCCCAGUCUGUGUAAGGAAGCGGCCACCGAUUAGGCCUGGUCUCAGCCCCUAGGAAUGACCAUUUCCUAUUCCCCUGCCUCCCCAAGGGAGGGGCCGUCCCAUCCCAGUGAGUGGGCCCCGCAGGCUGGGCGAGCACUGGACAGUGCACUCCCCUCACUGCUGGGGCAAUGGCUUUAGAAAGUACAGUCAGCUCCUGUAGGGGAGCUUUGAUCACUGAUGUCUCAGCCAGGGGACACUUGGGGUGGCCAUCCCCGUGGACAUCUCAGAUGGAGGUCCAGCUUUAGGCUGCAGGACAGUUCACAGUCACCCUGUGGGGCUCCCAUCAGUGCCAUCGGGGGCAGUGCGGCCUGACUCCCCAGAACUGAAGCAGCAGGGGCUGAGGUAGGAGAUAGGCCCUCUGGGCCCAGGGCUGAGACAACAUCAGGACGGCUCUGACUCAGGACCCUGGUGUGUGGAGCAGGA